UACAGAGGUGGCAAGCGUUGUUCGGAAUUACUGGGCGUAAAGGGCGCGUAGGCGGCCGAAUAAGUCUGAUGUGAAAUCCCUCGGCUCAACCGGGGAACUGCAUUUGAAACUGUUCGGCUCGAGUCCGGGAGAGGGUAGUGGAAUUCCCAGUGUAGCGGUGAAAUGCGUAGAUAUUGGGAGGAACACCGGUGGCGAAGGCGGCUACCUGGACCGGUACUGACGCUGAGGCGCGAAAGCUAGGGUAGCAAACAGG
RNAcentral lists this ribosomal RNA (253 nucleotides) under uncultured bacterium. RNAcentral describes it as "partial 16S ribosomal RNA". It matches the Rfam family "Bacterial small subunit ribosomal RNA", at positions 524 to 776 of the family's 1533-position model. The record is from RNAcentral.